GAGCUUAUAAGUGUAGCCAGGUGGCACCAUUGGCUAUUUUUGCAGUUCACAAUAUCGGCUGUGAGGAUGUGGAAUGCAAGUGGAGGGAGCCAGCCGUGCCCAACCAGCUGGAGUCAGUGGAUGAUCUGUACCUGGCUUAAGACAACAACCCUCUGUCCCGAGAGCCCACAGAGAAGGAUCUUCAGAGUCUAAGGAACCCUCUCCGGGGCAGGUUCAGUGGAGUGCAUAGAUAAUAAACAGAGAAUAGCAGAGGCGUAAAGGGGGGGUGCAUAUAGUCUGGGUAGCCAUUUGAUUAGCUGUUCAGGAGUCGUAUGGCUUGCUGGUAGAAGCUGUUGAGAAGCAUUUUGUAUCUAGACUUGGCAUUCCGGUACCGCUUGCCAUGAGGUAGCAGAGAGAUCAGUCAAUGACUAUAAAUAUAGACUGUGGCUGGAGUCUUUAGGGCUUUCCUCUGACACCGCCUGGUAUAGAGGUCCUGGAUGGCAGGAAACUUGGCCCCAGUGAUGUACUGGGCCGUGCGUAUGUAGUGCCUUGCGGUCAGAGGCCGAGCAGUUGCCAUACCAGGCAGUGAUGCAACCAGUCAUUGCGCACUAGCGACUCCUGUGGCGGGCAGGGCUCAGUGCACGCUGACCAGGUCGCCAGGUGUACGGUGUUUCCUCCGACACAUUGGUGCGGCUGGCUUCCGGGUUGGAUGUGCGUUGUGUCAAGAAGCAGUGCGGUUGGAUUGGGUUUCGGAGGACAUAUGGCUCUCGAACUGUAACUACUAUCAGUUGGAUACCAUGAAAUUGGGGAGAAAAAAGGGUUUUAAAAAAAGAAGCCUUUGUCUGACAAAAAUCAUGUCUCCAGACAUGAAGACAUGAAAAUCUUCUCAAUUGUGCGUCGCCCCAUGGACCUCCCAGUCAUUGAAAGCACCAUGGCAGUACAGUCAAUGACCAUCCUGCAGUUUCCCCUGGACCCAUGAAAAGACACAAGCACCUCAUCACCAAAUUUGGUGGCGAGUGAAAAUGCCGUCUUCUUCUUCAAUGAAGUUUAAUGGUGGUUUGCAUCCAAUAAAUGUUACAUUAUCGCAUCCAACUAGGCUGUAGAAUAAUUCCCUUAUACUUUGCUGACAAUAAAUAAAUACAGUUGAAGCCAGAAGAUUACAUACACCUUAGCCAAAUAAACUUACUCAGUCUUUCACAAUUCUUGACAUUUAAACAUCCGAAUCGUCUGAAUGUGUAACUAUAAAACCAACUUUACCUUGGUAAUUCGUCACUCGUUCAUCCCGCAAUGAUUGUGUUUUCAGGCACCGGUAGCUUGUGGGUGCUUUUAUGCCCUGCAGUCAAUUAUGAGUGCAUGUUUACUGACUAAAUAUAUCAUUAUUAAUAUUCACCUACUGCACUGUAUGAUAGCUAGCAAAUUAAUUAGCUAAUGCCUAGCUGGAACUUCUGAAGGAAAAU
Molecule: long non-coding RNA, 1436 nt
Organism: Oncorhynchus tshawytscha (Chinook salmon)
Lineage: Eukaryota; Metazoa; Chordata; Actinopteri; Salmoniformes; Salmonidae
Source: Ensembl